CUGGGAAUUUUGCGCAAUGGGGGUAACCCUGACGCAGCAACGCCGCGUGGGUGAGGAAGGCCUUCGGGUCGUAAAGCCCUUUUAGCAGGGAAGAACAAGAUGACGGUACCUGCAGAAAAAGCACCGGCUAACUCCGUGCCAGCAGCCGCGGUAAUACGGAGGGUGCGAGCGUUAUUCGGAUUCACUGGGCGUAAAGCGCAUGUAGGCGGUUUGGUAAGUCUGAUGUGAAAUCCCUCGACUUAAUCGAGGAAGUGCAUUGGAUACUGCCGGGCUAGAGUGCAGGAGAGGAAGAUGGAAUUCCCGGUGUAGAGGUGAAAUUCGUAGAUAUCGGGAGGAACAACAGUGGCGAAGGCGAUCUUCUGGACUGUAACUGACGCUAAAGUGCGAAAGCGUGGGUAGCAAACAGG
Molecule: ribosomal RNA, 407 nt
Filed under: uncultured bacterium
Lineage: Bacteria
Description: bacterial SSU rRNA
Rfam family: Bacterial small subunit ribosomal RNA
Source: RNAcentral